UACGUAGGGACCGAGCGUUGUCCGGAAUCAUUGGGCGUAAAGAGCGUGUAGGCGGCCAUUUAAGUCCUGCGUGAAAUCCUGCGGCUCAACCGCAGGCGGUCGUGGGAAACUGGAUGGCUAGAGUGCGGGAGAGGAGAGUGGAAUUCCUGGUGUAGCGGUGAAAUGCGCAGAUAUCAGGAAGAACACCCGUGGCUAAGGCGGCUCUCUAGUACGGUACUGACGCUGAGACGCGAAAGCGUGGGGAGCGAACAGG
RNAcentral lists this ribosomal RNA (253 nucleotides) under uncultured bacterium. RNAcentral describes it as "partial 16S ribosomal RNA". It matches the Rfam family "Bacterial small subunit ribosomal RNA", at positions 524 to 776 of the family's 1533-position model. The record is from RNAcentral.